UUUUUUUUUUUUUUUUUUAAUCAUAAAGCAAUUUAAGUCCUGUUGGUUGAGCCCUGAUCUGGCUCAUAUUUAAGCAUGUGCUAAACUUCACUUGUAUAAACAACCCCAGAAUUGACAUCAGGGCUUCAAAAUGCCAUUUUGUGCCUCUGACUAUUGAAAAAACAUGGCUGGUUUAAAAAUAUCCAUCAGCCUAACCAGCACAGCACAACGCAAAGUGUGUCAGUCCACUGACAGAGAGGAAAAAUAGAUGGAGAGCAUUGCUUUGAGUGGGCAGGGAUGACAAUCAGAAGGAAUAAUGUCAUUCCAGGUGUGGGAAUAUUUGUGUUUGCUCUUGGUGAUGAUGGCUGUGACACCCAGCUCGCCCUCAGUGCUGCGACAGCAGGGGAUGGAGCUGGAAUGCAGGAAACAACUCUCAGUGAUACCCACAGGAGACUCUCGGUGGCUGAAAAAACGAUGAAGGCUUCUCACACUUUGCACAAGAACUCCAGGCUGACAAAAGAUGAAGAAUAGUCAGGAAGAGACAGGAAGUGGUGGAUGAAAAUUUUACUACGGGCAGCUUUCUUUUCCACAGAAAAAAGUUUCUAUUUCCUGGCCAGGCCUUGUCUUACAGUGAAAUUUCUUUGUCUUCCUGUUUAUCAGGUUGCUCAGCAGACACAAAUGUGUUGGCACAGGGCAAAACACAGCCUGUGACAGGGGGAAGGGGUCCUGCAACACCUUGGAUUAAUGUUCUUCUUGGGGUUAUCCCUCCAGCUUUUGCAUUGGACUCGUGGCCAGUGUUUUACAAGCCUUGGCUGCAGCUGGACAUUAUCUGACGCCUUUUGCCCCUCUGGAACAGCUCUGAUGGACACCAGAGAGUCCAAACCUCUCUGAUAUUGCCACACCACAAUAGGCAACAAGAUUUUUCAUAUUCUGUCUUGUUUGUAAGAUUCCCAAGGUGUUUUUUUUCUCUUUUAUUAUCCCAAAUGCAUGAUAAAAAUCAUAAAACCUGAGAAUUGUUUGGUAUGGGAUGGACCUUAAAGACCAUCUUUUUUUCCAGCGCCUUCUGCUAGAUCAGGUUACUCCAAGCCCCAUCCAACCUGGCCUUGAACACUUCUAUUUGAUAUUCACUUGAUAAUUUAUCUUUUCAUUGUUUCAUUUACCUGCAGGUAAAUCAGGUUCCUAAUCCAAUUCUGAAAUCUUGGGAUUUUUUUCCUAUAAACUCUUUAAUGAUGUCUCUGCCUGCUUUAAUGAUGCUUGUUUGUGCUAUUAACACUUUAAUAAAUACAUCCUCAUGUCAAAUAUUCAGGAACCUCACAUUAAUUUGCAUUAAAGAUGCUACAAAAGCAAAAUAAUUUGCCACACGUCACUCAUCAUACAUGGAUUUUGAUCACUAGAAUCUUUGUUCUACACUUCUUUGCAAAUUAAAAUAAAUAGUUCCACUCAAAACCAAAAAAUGCCAUCUUCAGUCCAAAGUGUCUCAGAAAUCACUGUGACUUCUAAAAUAUCUCAGUUUUCUAAAUGGCUCUAAAAUAUUUAAAUGUUCUAAAUGGCUGAACUUGGAAAAGUCACAAGGAGCUGCACAGCAUGGAAGCAGACCUUCUUUAACAUGUUGAGCUAAAUGUUACCACAUUUCCCAGGGAUUUUAAUUGAGAAAAAUAUUACAGACUUCCACCAAUGUGCACAGAGGUAGCAAAGCUAUGUUGUGUCUCUUUUACUACUCCCUUGCAGAUGGAGAGCAGGAAAAAAUGCUUGAGUAAAGCAACAGCAAUGUCUUUGUGAAGUUUUCCUGUCAUGCUUGAUUCUGCUUUGGGUUUGGUGGUGUUUUUUCCUUUGGAAAACAGACAGAAACCUCCAAACAAAUUUCAAACAGACAGAAACUUCCAAAGGUCAUUCUGGAAGCUCAUGGACCUGUGCAGGAGUUCCUGUUGGCUUUACCUUCAGAAAAAUACAGACAAGAAAAUGAGCAUUUCCUCCUGCCUCUCCCUAUCACAUCUUUAAUCUCUUUGUGUGGUUUCUGCCUGUGGCUUUCUGAGGCUCCAGCAGCCCCUCCAGUUUCAGACCAUAAAAGAGAAUCUUCAAGGUAGCCUGGAGAGACUGGUAAGCCAUCCUCACCACACAUGUGACAGCCUGUUUGAAAUAAUACCAACUUUCACAGUGAACCCUCACCUUUCAGCCUAGAGAAUUGCUUAAAGAAGAAAACAAUUUAUCUGGGGCUUAAUGUAGUGCAGGGUGGGGACUUCUGGCUGUGUGUUUCACGUGAGAUAUGGGGACAGACAGAGCUCUGUGGUCUAUAAAGGGGUUUGGAGUUGUUGACCACUUGGAGGACUGUGAGGAAGGACUUUCAAGCAAGUUUUGAGGAGGUUAUCCCAAAGUGAGGGAGGAAAAUGAACAUGGGAUGGUAGAAGUGAAUAGGAGAGGAGAAGAAGCCUCUCACCACUCUGCCCAGCACGGAGAGUGCUCGGGGCUCACCUCCCUCACCCACAGCUGACCCAAGGGCUGUGCACCAGGCAAGAAGUGGGAGUCAGUGCAGUCUCUCAGGGUGGUGAAAAGAUUGAUUUAUUUUUUCUCUAUGGGGAAAAAAAAACCCACAAAAACCAGGUCAAAUAUAUAAAACAUUUCUCAAAAAUAUGUAUUGUUGCUGUUUCCAUGUGUUAAGUUUGACGCUGAGGUAUUGUCUCUGCAUGCAGUUUUCAGCUUCUGUCACGAUCUCUGCAUCACUCCUCAAAUUUCCUGCUUGGAAACUGGAUUUUUUAGAGUUUUUCUCAUCUGCCCAAAGGCUUUACUCUCUCCAAUAAAUCUACUGCUGAUCUCUUCAACGUGGUAAACACACUCAUCUUCUCACAGGGCUGGUGGGUCUGUGUCUGGAGAAGCACAGAGGAGGUUGUGUAUGUUAGAGGCUUCAGCCUGACAACUGCUGUGCUGUUCUUUAGGGGAUAGAUUCCUCCUUCCUUUCUCCCACAAAGCUGUAAGAGAAUAAAAAGAAAUUACCUUUCAUUGCAAGUCGAUUUGUGGGAUGUAAUGGCACAAUUUAGAAAGGAAUAUUGCAGACAGUGAGACCACUUGGAUUAGAAACCUUGAAUCAGUUUGUGGGGCUAUAUAUUUCCAUAGCACUGUGUUUUGUUGUGUGGGGAAUUUAAUAAGAGAUGUAAAUCUGCAAACUGCAAUGGUAUCACCAUAAAACAUAAAAGAUUCAUGUAUUAUAAAUAGGUAUGACAAAUAAAUUAUUUAUGUGAAUGUA
Molecule: non-coding RNA, 3217 nt
Organism: Taeniopygia guttata (zebra finch)
Lineage: Eukaryota; Metazoa; Chordata; Aves; Passeriformes; Estrildidae
Source: RefSeq, a predicted model, not a curated record